AGGGAACAAGUCAAGCAUACAGACCAGUUACACAAUCUGGGCGACCCUUGUCUGGAGUCAUACGUCCUGGAACACAAUCCGGCAGGCCUGGUACUAUGGAACAAGCCAUACGUACACGUACAGCUUACACUUCUAGACCUAUAACAAGUUCAUCUGGUAGAUUUGUCCGUUUGGGAACAGCAUCAAUGCUGUCUCAACCUGAUGGUCCUUUUAUAAAUUUUGCAAGACUUAAUAUAGCAAAAUAUGCAUCACAGCCCCAAGUAGCAAAG
Parasteatoda tepidariorum (common house spider) is the source of this 269-nucleotide non-coding RNA. Lineage: Eukaryota; Metazoa; Arthropoda; Arachnida; Araneae; Theridiidae. The record is from RefSeq and is a predicted model, not a curated record.